GGCUGAGCCAAAGGUAGUGGGUUAACUCAACUGGUUGAUCACAGUCUGUUGUAGAUUGAACUCCUGGUUCUAUACUUUCCUCCUUCUGCACUUGACUAGAGAU
RNAcentral lists this non-coding RNA (103 nucleotides) under Mus pahari (shrew mouse). The record is from RNAcentral. Lineage: Eukaryota; Metazoa; Chordata; Mammalia; Rodentia; Muridae.